GACGAACCGUGCGAACGUUGUUCGGAAUCACUGGGCAUAAAGGGCGCGUAGGCGGCUCAUGAAGGCUGUGGUGAAAGUCCGGGGCUCAACCUCGGAUCGGCCGUGGCGACUCGUGGGCUGGAGCACUGUAGAGGCGGGUGGAAUUCCGGGUGUAGCGGUGGAAUGCGUAGAGAUCCGGAAGAACACCAGUGGCGAAGGCGGCCCGCUGGGCAGUGGCUGACGCUGAGGCGCGACAGCGUGGGGAGCAAACAGG
This 253-nucleotide ribosomal RNA is filed under the name uncultured bacterium. RNAcentral describes it as "partial 16S ribosomal RNA". It matches the Rfam family "Bacterial small subunit ribosomal RNA", at positions 524 to 776 of the family's 1533-position model. The record is from RNAcentral.